This 117-nucleotide ribosomal RNA is filed under the name Esox lucius (northern pike). Lineage: Eukaryota; Metazoa; Chordata; Actinopteri; Esociformes; Esocidae. The record is from RNAcentral.
GCUUACGGCCACACCUCCCUGAGCACGCCCGAUCUCGUCUGAUCUCGAAGCUAAGCAGGGUCGGGCCCGGUUAGUAGUUGGAUGGGAGACCGCCUGGAAUACCAGGUGCUGUAAGCC